RNAcentral lists this ribosomal RNA (280 nucleotides) under uncultured bacterium. RNAcentral describes it as "partial 16S ribosomal RNA". It matches the Rfam family "Bacterial small subunit ribosomal RNA", at positions 506 to 785 of the family's 1533-position model. The record is from RNAcentral.
UGCCAGCAGCCGCGGUAAUACGGAGGGUGCAAGCGUUGUUCGGAAUUACUGGGCGUAAAGCGCGUGUAGGCGGCCAGGUCAGUCGGAUGUGAAAUCCCGGGGCUCAACCCCGGAACUGCAUCCGAUACUGCCUGGCUAGAGUCUUGGAGAGGAAGGCGGAAUUCCGGGUGUAGAGGUGAAAUUCGUAGAUAUCCGGAGGAACACCAGUGGCGAAGGCGGCCUUCUGGACAGAGACUGACGCUGAGACGCGAAAGCGUGGGGAGCAAACAGGAUUAGAUAC